Long non-coding RNA from Priapulus caudatus, 210 nucleotides. RefSeq lists it as uncharacterized. Lineage: Eukaryota; Metazoa; Priapulida; Priapulimorpha; Priapulimorphida; Priapulidae. The transcript is spliced from 2 exons. The record is from RefSeq and is a predicted model, not a curated record.
UGUCACAUGUUCUCCCGCGUAAUAAUUUGAACAAGCAGAGAGAGUGUGGUGUGUGAUUGGUUAGGGUAGAGUGGAACUGGGCCGUGAUUGGAUGCGGGGUUCAUAUAUUAAGGGACGCGAGAGCAUUUGGGGGGAGAUUGGAACGAGACAGGACGUGACGUGACGCUGACGGGUUGUUUGUAAACAAUAUAUUUCUUUAGUGAACACAAA